RNAcentral lists this long non-coding RNA (640 nucleotides) under Ananas comosus (pineapple). RNAcentral describes it as "long non-coding RNA (ACOM_LNC020184)". The record is from RNAcentral. Lineage: Eukaryota; Viridiplantae; Streptophyta; Magnoliopsida; Poales; Bromeliaceae.
AACAUUUUUUUUUCACUCUGGAAUGAGAAUGGCCCAAUCCAGCUUUGAAUCCUAGAUUGGACUUCCCCCUCCUCUCAUUUGAUCACUCUACUCACUCUUAAUCAAAAUUCCUCUCUCCAAAUUGUAAAUACCCCAAUUGUCCAUUCCGAUUUCUAUUACAAUAAUGAAUCAAAUAUUUUUAAAUGAUACGUCAUUUUUUUUUUCUAUUUCAAUGCAAUCCAAUCAUAAAAAAAACAUGCUAAGGACAUAUUUAGUUCAUGAUUGGCAUAGAAAUGAGAAAUAAAAUUAAAUUGCAUGAAAAAUAAAAUGACGAAUCAUUUAACAAUGAUUGAUUUAUUAUUGAGAUAGAAAUCAAAAUGAAUAUCUAGCAUUCCUAGAGUGAUGAAGGAAGGUGUUUGGUUAAAAGAGUGGAAAUGAUGAAAGGGGGAGGAAAGAGAGGUGUUUGUGAGGAAAGACUUUUUAAGUGAUUUGGAAUGGGUCAAUCUGUAAUUCAAAACCGAAUUGAGCCAUAAAUAGAUUAGAUCAUUUUCAUUUCAGAGUAGAAUAAAAAUCAAAAUCCAAUUCCCGUAAAACAAAUAACAAUUAUCCAAAUCAAUAAAUCUCAUUUCGAUUCUAUCGGCUAAAAUAGGUGAAACACACA